UAUGGCUGAAAUGAGAUAGGUUACUAUUAAAAAAAAUUACAGCCUACAAAUUUCUAUGUCUAUUAAUUAGUUUAGAAUUGUAUCUAUGUCUCAGGAUACCUGAUAAAGAGAGAACACUAACAGAGGCUUGAGCACUUACCAUCUGAUCUGAUCCUACUAAGCAAAAGUAAUCACUUGGAAUAUUUAGAACUGGCAAGAAGAAGACGCACUUCUUAUUCUCAUAUUUACGCGUGACAUUGUUACUCAACAAGAAAUACUUGAAAAUUGUAGUUAAUAGAUGGUGCUAUCAUAUUAGAAAGUAUUUGUUUUGUAAUCUAUAGCAAGAAAAUCAUCUGAGUUCAGUAAGUAAGGGGGAUUUGCCAAAGUGUCCUCUCUUUUAUGUAAGGCAUCAUUUUUCUUCCUGAUUUUACAGAUGAACUUACAAAAGGGAAGAGAUUUUCAGUUCUUGGUUUCCAUGGAGAACUUUUCCAUCAUAAUUUAAUUUUGACUAUGCCUAUUUAAGCUUCUUCUAGAAUUGCUAUGUUUUAUUUUCAAAUUGGAUUUUAACAUGCAUGAUUCCAAAAAAAAAUAAUGUGCAGGUACUGGUCACGUUUGUUAUGGCAUUUUGGUUGCUGAUCGUAAUGGUUGCAUGGCUACUAUGACCAACUUGAAGAGAAUUACCACAUGAACAUAUGUUGUUGAGAUUUGUGUAAUACACAAAGCAAAUGCUUUUGCUUUCUCACAUAUAUGCAAUAUUAUCAACUUCUUCAUUGCAAUGACAUUGUACCACCCACUCACUAAUGUGAGAAAAUGUCUCUUAUAUAUUAUCCUAUUUUUUGUGAAAAUGAUACUCCUUUCAUGU
Molecule: long non-coding RNA, 841 nt
Filed under: Solanum tuberosum (potato)
Lineage: Eukaryota; Viridiplantae; Streptophyta; Magnoliopsida; Solanales; Solanaceae
Description: long non-coding RNA (STUB_LNC001303)
Source: RNAcentral